RNAcentral lists this transfer-messenger RNA (382 nucleotides) under Corynebacterium sp. It matches the Rfam family "transfer-messenger RNA". Rfam says of the family: Bacterial tmRNA, also known as 10Sa RNA or SsrA, is named for its dual tRNA and mRNA-like properties. Its role is to liberate the mRNA from a stalled ribosome. The record is from RNAcentral. Lineage: Bacteria; Bacillati; Actinomycetota; Actinomycetes; Mycobacteriales; Corynebacteriaceae.
GGGGUCGAUUUGGUUUCGACUACGUUGAUCAAGCUAGGGGAAGCGUGCCGGUGAAGGCUAGAGACCACCGUUAAGCGUCGUAGCACAUUGAUAAGCGCCGAGAACACUCAGCGCGACUACGCACUCGCUGCCUAAUUCGUAGCGACUAGCGUGUCUGUCAGCCCAGAUACGUUCCCGAUCUGGUGACUGGCAUCGACUAGGGGACUUGCUGAUUUUGGGCGUUAGCAGCCAAAAUUGGGACUUCUAACUGCUAACUGGGCUCAUCAUCUGGAAGCGUUCGCCCUAUCCAGAGAGCCGAGUAGAGAUCUGCGCGCGAACUGCGCACGGAGAAGCCCUGGCAAGGUGGCGUAGGACCCGGGUUCAAGUCCCGGCGGCUCCACUC